GUCCAUGUUUAAGGAAGCGUUGAAGGUCACGUCACUCAAAGCCAACAUCAGCAGGCAUCCUACCAAGAUAAUCUCUGAAGAGGUCAGAGGCACAAUUAUUACAAUUUAUUGUGGACAGGAAAACACAUGGAUGUUGAAUACCAGUUCCUGUGAAAGAUACUUGGGUUUCGGGAUAACAACAGUCCCAAGUCUUCAGAACAAAUCAACAGAAUUCAAUCAAGUAUUUCCUUGCACUUACUUGUUAUGACUUCUUAGUCUCUCCAGUCUGUGACAGUUACUCAUUUUCUCCCUGAUACAAGGACUACAACACUUUGGAAGGUGCUUGUCAGAAAUUUAUUCUCCUUAUAUACAUUCCUACACACAUGUGGAUGCUUUUAUUGAAACCAGUUCAUAGGGUGCAGCACCUCGCCCUGCUCUCGCUUCUUCCUUCUCCAGCCAUGUACGACAUGCCUGCUUCCCCUUUGCCUUCUGCCAUGAUUAUGUUUCCUGAGGCCUCCCCAG
RNAcentral lists this long non-coding RNA (501 nucleotides) under Homo sapiens (human). RNAcentral's name for it is "HSALNT0352816". The record is from RNAcentral. Lineage: Eukaryota; Metazoa; Chordata; Mammalia; Primates; Hominidae.